GUUGAAAUGGCAAGUGCC
RNAcentral lists this small nuclear RNA (18 nucleotides) under Arabidopsis thaliana (thale cress). Its description in RNAcentral is "snRNA_02485". Lineage: Eukaryota; Viridiplantae; Streptophyta; Magnoliopsida; Brassicales; Brassicaceae. The record is from RNAcentral.